UGGGGAAUAUUGCGCAAUGGAGGCAACUCUGACGCAGCGAUGCCGCGUGAGUGAAGAAGGGAUUCGUUCUGUAAAGCUCUGUUACCGGGGAAGACGAUGACGGUACCCGGUAAGCAAGCCCCAGCCAACUACGUGCCAGCAGCUGCGGUAAUACGUAGGGGGCGAGCGUUAUCCGGAAUUAUUGGGCGUAAAGGGCACGCAGGUGGUUGUUUAGGUGCGGUGUAAAAGUCCAGGGCUCAACCCUGGGAGGUCACCGCAAACCGGGCAGCUGGAGUAUUGUCGAGGCAGGCAGAAUUCCUGGUGUAGCGGUGAAAUGCGCAGAGAUCAGGAGGAAUACCGGAGGCGAAGGCGGUCUGCCAGGCUUAUACUGACACUGAGGUGCGAAAGCGUGGGGAGCGAA
Molecule: ribosomal RNA, 400 nt
Filed under: uncultured bacterium
Lineage: Bacteria
Description: bacterial SSU rRNA
Rfam family: Bacterial small subunit ribosomal RNA
Source: RNAcentral